GUCGUCAUAAUACAAGUGUAUUGCCAGCAGAACGGAACCCUCCGGGCUGGCCAUACACUUGUAUUAUGCAGCAUGCUGGCAUUGAAUUACGUGAUUGAUUCUGUGAGAACAGAAUCCAUUACGUAAUUCACUUAAACCCUGAACCUGCCAAAAGGCAGGUUCGCUCAACUCUAAUCUAGGUACAGUAUAGAAAGACUCCU
This is a long non-coding RNA of Bufo bufo (common toad), 200 nucleotides long. RefSeq lists it as uncharacterized. The record is from RefSeq and is a predicted model, not a curated record. NCBI's taxonomy places the organism in Eukaryota, Metazoa, Chordata, Amphibia, Anura, Bufonidae. The transcript is spliced from 3 exons.